This 398-nucleotide ribosomal RNA is filed under the name uncultured bacterium. RNAcentral's name for it is "bacterial SSU rRNA". It matches the Rfam family "Bacterial small subunit ribosomal RNA", at positions 362 to 775 of the family's 1533-position model. The record is from RNAcentral.
UAUUGGGCAAUGGGGGCAACCCUGACCCAGCGACGCCGCGUGGGGGAAGACGGCCUUCGGGUUGUAAACCUCUUUUGUACGGGAAGAAGGAAGUGACGGUACUGUACGAAUAAGUCCCGGCUAACUACGUGCCAGCAGCCGCGGUAAUACGUAGGGGACGAGCGUUGUCCGGAAUUACUGGGCGUAAAGGGCGCGCAGGCUGUGCUGCAAGUCAGCUGUUAAAUGUCUGGGCUUAACCCGGGCAUGCGGUUGAGACUGCAGUGCUGGAGUGCUGUAGAGGCAAGUGGAAUUCCCAGUGUAGCGGUGAAAUGCGUAGAUAUUGGGAAGAACACCGGUGGCGAAGGCGACUUGCUGGGCAGCAACUGACGCUGAGGCGCGAAAGCCAGGGGAGCAAACGG